UAGCCUGGUAGCGGGGGAUAACUAUUGGAAACGAUAGCUAAUACCGCAUAACAGUAGAUAUCGCAUGAUAGCUGCUUGAAAGGUGCAAUUGCACCACUACCAGAUGGACCUGCGUUGUAUUAGCUAGUUGGUGAGGUAACGGCUCACCAAGGCAACGAUACAUAGCCGACCUGAGAGGGUGAUCGGCCACACUGGGACUGAGACACGGCCCAG
RNAcentral lists this ribosomal RNA (213 nucleotides) under uncultured bacterium. RNAcentral describes it as "partial 16S ribosomal RNA". It matches the Rfam family "Bacterial small subunit ribosomal RNA", at positions 126 to 334 of the family's 1533-position model. The record is from RNAcentral.